This 497-nucleotide ribosomal RNA is filed under the name uncultured bacterium. Its description in RNAcentral is "partial 16S ribosomal RNA". It matches the Rfam family "Bacterial small subunit ribosomal RNA", at positions 28 to 507 of the family's 1533-position model. The record is from RNAcentral.
GAUGAACGCUGGCGGCGUGCCUAAUACAUGCAAGUCGAGCGAACGGGCGAGAAGCUUGCUUUUCUGAUGUUAGCGGCGGACGGGUGAGUAACACGUGGAUAACCUACCUAUAAGACUGGGAUAACUUCGGGAAACCGGAGCUAAUACCGGAUAAUAUUUUGAACCGCAUGGUUCAAAAGUGAAAGACGGUCUUGCUGUCACUUAUAGAUGGAUCCGCGCUGCAUUAGCUAGUUGGUAAGGUAACGGCUUACCAAGGCAACGAUGCAUAGCCGACCUGAGAGGGUGAUCGGCCACACGGGAACUGAGACACGGUCCAGACUCCUACGGGAGGCAGCAGUAGGGAAUCUUCCGCAAUGGGCGAAAGCCUGACGGAGCAACGCCGCGUGAGUGAUGAAGGUCUUCGGAUCGUAAAACUCUGUUAUUAGGGAAGAACAUAUGUGUAAGUAACUGUGCACAUCUUGACGGUACCUAAUCAGAAAGCCACGGCUAACUACGUG